UACAGAGGGUGCAAACGUUGUUCGGAAUUAUUGGGCGUAAAGCGCGUGUAGGCGGUUUGGAAAGUCGGAUGUGAAAGCCCCGGGCUCAACCCGGGAAGUGCACUCGAUACUCCCAAGCUAGAGUAUCGGAGAGGUUGGUGGAAUUCUCGGUGUAGAGGUGAAAUUCGUAGAUAUCGAGAGGAACACCGGUGGCGAAGGCGGCCAACUGGACGAAUACUGACGCUGAGGAGCGAAAGCGUGGGGAGCGAACAGG
RNAcentral lists this ribosomal RNA (253 nucleotides) under uncultured bacterium. Its description in RNAcentral is "partial 16S ribosomal RNA". It matches the Rfam family "Bacterial small subunit ribosomal RNA", at positions 524 to 776 of the family's 1533-position model. The record is from RNAcentral.